Molecule: ribosomal RNA, 253 nt
Filed under: uncultured bacterium
Lineage: Bacteria
Description: partial 16S ribosomal RNA
Rfam family: Bacterial small subunit ribosomal RNA
Source: RNAcentral
UACGGGGGGGGCAAGCGUUGUUCGGAAUUACUGGGCGUAAAGGGCUCGUAGGCGGCCAACUAAGUCAGACGUGAAAUCCCUCAGCUUAACUGGGGAACUGCGUCUGAGACUGAUGAGCUUGAGUGCAGGAGAGGAACGCGGAAUUCCAGGUGUAGCGGUGAAAUGCGUAGAUAUCUGGAGGAACACCGGUGGCGAAGGCGGCGUUCUGGACUGCAACUGACACUGAGGAACGAAAGUCAGGGGAGCAAACGGG